This 1046-nucleotide long non-coding RNA is filed under the name Sus scrofa (pig). RNAcentral's name for it is "lncRNA (ENSSSCG00065022149.1)". The record is from RNAcentral. Lineage: Eukaryota; Metazoa; Chordata; Mammalia; Artiodactyla; Suidae.
GUCGAACUUGCAACCUCGUGGUUAUUAGUUGGAUUUGUUUCUGUUGCGCCACCAUGGGAACUCCUAUUUUAUUUUUAAUUUAACUUUUGUUGAGGUAACAUUGGCUUAUAACAUUAUAUAAGUUUGAUGCGGACAACAUUAUACUUCUUACACUACAAAAAAAAAAAAAAAAAAAAAAAGAAGUGUUUACUGAGAGCCUGCUCUAAGCCAGCCACUGUUUGAGAGGCUAGAGGCUCAGAAAUGAGUCCCUGAAAGAGUUUGUAAAAAUAACCACAACUUCCUCUCCUUGCGUUUAGGACCAAGUGAUGUUGCAGGUCCUUCCAACUAAGAAACAGAAUCUAUUUUCUACCCUUUGAAUCUGGGUCGUUCAAUGGUAUUGUCACAAAUGUGACUCAUUCAGAGCCCCGUCUUUCAUGCAGCCUCGGAGGGUCAUUCGUGGUACAGCAGGAGUCGGGAGGCAGGGGGUUGGCCCAGGCUCAUCGACAACUAGCUGAUUUAAAGAGUAUAAUGCAUCCUGUAAGUAGUUACUUUGAUCUUUUCUACCCAUAAUUAUGCUUGUCAGAAAAUAAGGGGGGAAAUCACUGCAAGUCAAAACUUUUGCUGAAAGAUAAGAUGUUAUGAUCUGCUGCUAAUUACAUUCCUGCAAUUAAGAAGUUGGGGCUGAUCGCUCAAAGCUUCCAAUACAUAAAAAUCAGCAGCCAUUUUAGUUGAAAUGCUACAUCCUGUGACCUGUUUUUAAUUGACUUUCCUCCUCCUCGCUCUUCAAAGCAGGACUCUGCCAAAGCCACCAGCUUCUGACUUUGAAGCUCCCUUGAAAUAGAGAGAAAAAACAAAGGCCAAAAGUCAAGGGCUUUCAACUGCAUAUGGUUUAGGCCAAAUUUACAAAUGUCUUUUUUCUCCCCCCUGGUUUCUCAAUAGGUUACUUUUAGUGAGUUCUUUGAUCUAGAAAAACAAAAACAGAAACUACGACACUGCGUAUUGAUCAUGUUUAAAAAUUUUUUUUGAUAAUCAGUCUAGUCACAAGUGUCUGUUCUUUUAAUUUUUUC